This 74-nucleotide transfer RNA is filed under the name Cellvibrio japonicus Ueda107. It matches the Rfam family "tRNA". From Rfam's summary of the family: Transfer RNA (tRNA) molecules are approximately 80 nucleotides in length. The record is from Rfam by way of RNAcentral. Lineage: Bacteria; Pseudomonadati; Pseudomonadota; Gammaproteobacteria; Cellvibrionales; Cellvibrionaceae.
CGGAGUGUAGCUCAGCCCGGUAGAGCACUGCUUUCGGGAAGCAGGGGCCGGAGGUUCGAAUCCUCUCACUCCGA